RNAcentral lists this ribosomal RNA (253 nucleotides) under uncultured bacterium. Its description in RNAcentral is "partial 16S ribosomal RNA". It matches the Rfam family "Bacterial small subunit ribosomal RNA", at positions 524 to 776 of the family's 1533-position model. The record is from RNAcentral.
UACGUAGGGGGCAAGCGUUGUCCGGAAUCAUUGGGCGUAAAGAGCGUGUAGGCGGCCCGAUAAGUCCGUCGUGAAAGUCCAGGGCUCAACCCUGGAAUGCCGGUGGAUACUGUCGGGCUUGAGUCCGGAAGAGGCGAGUGGAAUUCCUGGUGUAGCGGUGAAAUGCGCAGAUAUCAGGAGGAACACCGGCGGCGAAGGCGGCACUCUGGGCCGGUACUGACGCUGAGGAGCGAAAGCGUGGGUAGCAAACAGG